This 593-nucleotide ribosomal RNA is filed under the name uncultured Prevotella sp. RNAcentral describes it as "bacterial SSU rRNA". It matches the Rfam family "Bacterial small subunit ribosomal RNA", at positions 28 to 608 of the family's 1533-position model. The record is from RNAcentral. Lineage: Bacteria; Pseudomonadati; Bacteroidota; Bacteroidia; Bacteroidales; Prevotellaceae.
GAUGAACGCUAGCUACAGGCUUAGCACAUGCAAGUCGCAGGGUAACAUGAGGAAAGCUUGCUUUCCUUGAUGACGACUGGCGCACGGGUGAGUAACGCGUAUCCAACCUUCCCAUAACUACGGGAUAACCCGUUGAAAGACGGCCUAAUACCGUAUGAUAUCGUUUGCUGACAUCAAAUAACGAUUAAAGGUUUAGCGGUUAUGGAUGGGGAUGCGUCUGAUUAGCUUGUUGGCGGGGUAACGGCCCACCAAGGCUACGAUCAGUAGGGGUUCUGAGAGGAAGGUCCCCCACAUUGGAACUGAGACACGGUCCAAACUCCUACGGGAGGCAGCAGUGAGGAAUAUUGGUCAAUGGGCGAGAGCCUGAACCAGCCAAGUAGCGUGCAGGACGACGGCCCUAUGGGUUGUAAACUGCUUUUAUGUGGGGAUAAAGUGCGUGACAUGUCAUGCAUUGCAGGUACCACAUGAAUAAGGACCGGCUAANUCCGUGCCAGCACCCGCGGUAAUACGGAAGGUCCGGGCGUUAUCAGGAUUUAUUUGGGUUUUAAANGNAGCGUANGCUGUCUAAUAAANCNUGUUGUGNANNUUUANUC